GAUGAAGACGCAGUGAAAUGCGAUAAGUAAUGUGAAUUGCAGAAUUCAGUGAAUCAUCGAAUCUUUGAACGCACAUUGCGCCCGCCAGUAUUCUGGCGGGCAUGCCUGUUCGAGCGUCAUUUCAACCAUCAAGCCCCCGGCUUGUGUUGGGGACCUGCGGCUGCCGCAGGCCCUGAAAAGCAGUGGCGGGCUCGCUGUCACACCGAGCGUAGUAGAUUUCAUCUCGCUCAGGGCGUGCUGCGGGUUCCGGCCGUUAAACCACCUUCAUAACCCAAGGUUGACCUCGGAUCAGGUAGGAAGACCCGCUGAACUUAAGCAUAUCAAUAAGCGGAGGA
This 335-nucleotide unclassified non-coding RNA is filed under the name soil metagenome. RNAcentral describes it as "partial contains 5.8S ribosomal RNA, internal transcribed spacer 2, and large subunit ribosomal RNA". The stretch from base 1 to 119 matches the Rfam family "5.8S ribosomal RNA", at positions 35 to 154 of the family's 154-position model. The record is from RNAcentral.